This 402-nucleotide long non-coding RNA is filed under the name Aquila chrysaetos chrysaetos. RNAcentral's name for it is "lncRNA (ENSACCG00020000444.1)". The record is from RNAcentral. Lineage: Eukaryota; Metazoa; Chordata; Aves; Accipitriformes; Accipitridae.
AGUAAACUCGGCAACCUUGUCUCUGACCAGCGCUUUGGAAAAGGGACUCAAAGCUUAUCUGGCAGGUUGGUCUGUCCACAUCAAGGACACAUCCUGUCACUCUGGUGAAGAUUCCCUGUGUUCCUUGCUGCACCAAUCAGUGGUUGAAUCAGCAGAGGGGAUGCCACAUCCUAGUCAGAGCACAGGAGUCUGUGCAACGGGAUCUAUUCCAGAAUGCUCGGAUUUUCAUGGGUGUUCCCUCCACGAUGGGAAGCAGCUGAUCAGUUAUCCCAGCAAGCACUGAAGGCUUGCUUGCCAGUAUGGAAGGAGACUCUCUCUAUACAGCCUUCCGUGGUGAUCUCCUGGGAGGGGAUGGUUCAGUCCUGUGGUACAGCGUCCCUGCAUACAGAAUUCAUGCCAUAG